Long non-coding RNA from Carassius gibelio (silver crucian carp), 613 nucleotides. RefSeq lists it as uncharacterized. The transcript is spliced from 3 exons. The record is from RefSeq and is a predicted model, not a curated record. NCBI's taxonomy places the organism in Eukaryota, Metazoa, Chordata, Actinopteri, Cypriniformes, Cyprinidae.
UGUGUUAUCAGACUUGAUGAAUCCCUGAAUCUCUUUUCACAAUGUGCACACUUGUAGGGUUUCUCUCCAGUGUGGAUCCUCUCAUGUGUUUUCAGAGCUCCUGACUGACUGAAUCUCUGUUCACAGUAUGAACACUUGUAAGGUUUCUCUCCAGUGUGGAUACUCUCAUGCAGUUUUAAAUUGGUCGCUGUAGUAAAAGUCUUUUCACACUGAAAGCACAUGUACUCUCUCACACCAGUAUGUAUUUUCUGAUGCCCUUUCAAAUGUUGUAGACGUGAAAAACUCUUUCCACACAAAUGACAUGAAUGUGGUUUCUCUUUUGUAUGAACUCUCAGGUGCUGCUUCAGGUGUGAAGCCCUCAAAAACAUUUUGUCACAUUGAUCACAAGCGUACAGUUUCUCUCUAGUGUGAACAUUUGUGUGUGCAUAAAGAUGUGAUAAUUGUGAGAAACUCUUCCCGCACUGAUCACAAUUAAACGGUUUCUCUCCAGUAUGAACUCUCAUGUGUGCUGUAAGUAGUCCUUUUCGUGUGAAACUCUUCCCGCACUGAUCACAAUUAAACGGUUUCUCUCCAGUAUGAACUCUCAUGUGUGCUCUAAGGUGUUCUUUUCGUG